This 2262-nucleotide ribosomal RNA is filed under the name Sediminibacillus albus. RNAcentral describes it as "Bacterial large subunit ribosomal RNA". It matches the Rfam family "Bacterial large subunit ribosomal RNA", at positions 656 to 2925 of the family's 2925-position model. Lineage: Bacteria; Bacillati; Bacillota; Bacilli; Caryophanales; Bacillaceae. The record is from Rfam by way of RNAcentral.
ACAGACGGAGCCGCAGCGAAAGCGAGUCUGAACAGGGCGUAUGUAGUAGGGGGUCGUAGACCCGAAACCGUGUGAUCUACCCAUGUCCAGGGUGAAGGUCAGGUAACACUGACUGGAGGCCCGAACCCACGUAUGUUGAAAAAUGCGGGGAUGAGGUGUGGGUAGGGGUGAAAUGCCAAUCGAACACGGAGAUAGCUGGUUCUCUCCGAAAUAGCUUUAGGGCUAGCCUCAAGAGUUGAGUACUGGAGGUAGAGCACUGAUUGGACUAGGGGCCCUCAUCGGGUUACCGAAUUCAGUCAAACUCCGAAUGCCAGCCACUCGAUCUUGGGAGUCAGACUAUGGGUGAUAAGGUUCAUAGUCGAAAGGGAAACAGCCCAGACCGCCAGCUAAGGUCCCAAAGUAUACGUUAAGUGGAAAAGGAUGUGGAGUUGCUUAGACAACCAGGAUGUUGGCUUAGAAGCAGCCAUCAUUUAAAGAGUGCGUAAUAGCUCACUGGUCGAGUGACUCUGCGCCGAAAAUGUACCGGGGCUAAACGUAUCACCGAAGCUGCGGAUUGUUCUUACGAACAAUGGUAGGAGAGCGUUCUAAGUGCAGCGAAGUCAGACCGUGAGGACUGGUGGAGCGCUUAGAAGUGAGAAUGCCGGUAUGAGUAGCGAAAAAAGAGUGAGAAUCUCUUUCACCGAAAGCCUAAGGUUUCCUGAGGAAGGCUCGUCCGCUCAGGGUUAGUCGGGACCUAAGCCGAGGCCGAAAGGCGUAGGCGAUGGACAACAGGUGGAUAUUCCUGUACCACCUCCUUUCCGUUUGAACGACGGGGGGACGCAGAAGGAUAAGGAAAGCGCACUGCUGGUCAUGUGCGCCCAAGCAGUAAGAGAGUUGGAUAGGCAAAUCCGUCCAACAAUUUCAAGCUGUGAUGGGGAGGGAAAAUAAGUACCGAAGUUCCUGAUUUCACACUGCCAAGAAAAGCCUCUAGUGAGGAAAGAGGUGCCCGUACCGCAAACCGACACAGGUAGGCGAGGAGAGAAUCCUAAGGUGAUCGGGAGAACUCUCGUUAAGGAACUCGGCAAAAUGACCCCGUAACUUCGGGAGAAGGGGUGCUUCUUUAAGGAGAAGCCGCAGUGAAUAGGCCCAAGCGACUGUUUAGCAAAAACACAGGUCUCUGCGAAGCCGUAAGGCGAAGUAUAGGGGCUGACACCUGCCCGGUGCUGGAAGGUUAAGGGGACGCGUUAGCCGCAAGGCGAAGCGUUGAACCGAAGCCCCAGUAAACGGCGGCCGUAACUAUAACGGUCCUAAGGUAGCGAAAUUCCUUGUCGGGUAAGUUCCGACCCGCACGAAAGGUGCAACGACUUGGGCACUGUCUCAACGAGAGACCCGGUGAAAUUAUACUAUGCGUGAAGAUGCGCAUUACCCGCGACAGGACGGAAAGACCCCGUGGAGCUUUACUGUAGCCUGAUAUUGAAUGUUGGUACAGCUUGUACAGGAUAGGUGGGAGCCUUAGAAACCGGAGCGCUAGCUUCGGUGGAGGCGCCGGUGGGAUACCACCCUGGCUGUACGGACCUUCUAACCCAGAACCGUGAUCCGGUUCGGAGACAGUGUCAGGUGGGCAGUUUGACUGGGGCGGUCGCCUCCUAAAGAGUAACGGAGGCGCCCAAAGGUUCCCUCAGAAUGGUUGGAAAUCAUUCGCAGAGUGUAAAGGCAGAAGGGAGCUUGACUGCGAGACCUACAAGUCGAGCAGGGACGAAAGUCGGGCUUAGUGAUCCGGCGGUGCCGUAUGGAAGGGCCGUCGCUCAACGGAUAAAAGCUACCCCGGGGAUAACAGGCUUAUCUCCCCCAAGAGUCCACAUCGACGGGGAGGUUUGGCACCUCGAUGUCGGCUCAUCGCAUCCUGGGGCUGUAGUCGGUCCCAAGGGUUGGGCUGUUCGCCCAUUAAAGCGGUACGCGAGCUGGGUUCAGAACGUCGUGAGACAGUUCGGUCCCUAUCCGUCGUGGGCGUUGGAAGUUUGAGAGGAGCUGUCCUUAGUACGAGAGGACCGGGAUGGACACACCGCUGGUGUACCAGUUGUUCCGCCAGGAGCAUGGCUGGGUAGCUACGUGUGGAAGGGAUAAGUGCUGAAAGCAUCUAAGCAUGAAGCCCCCCUCUAGAUGAGACUUCCCAUCAUUUUAAAUGAGUAAGAUCCCUCAGAGACGAUGAGGUUGAUAGGUCCGAGGUGGAAGCGUGGUGACACGUGCAGCUGACGGAUACUAAUCGAUCGAGGACUUAACUUA